AUGAAUAAGAAUAAGCUGCUAUUUAAUGAUGGGCAGUCUGGGUAUCAGUAUUUUAAGACUUUUAUAGUAAUUCUCUCUUAUGCAUUAAUGAAAUAUAUUGACUUUUGUGUUAAUUAUUUUCAGCUCUUGCCUUCCAGAGGAUUUAUUAAACAGUCCAUCCCCCAGCCUGGCAGACCAAGCCUUGAGAUUGUAAGCUUAAAAGUUCCUUCUGCCAAAGUAUUAAAAAUGUGUGCAACUAUAAAAGAGAUAAAAAUGCCUAUUAAUGCUUGUAUCUUCCCUUCAGCUGUAUCCCUUUGGCUUUGGAAAUACAGGACCAAUGGGGCCAAUUGUGGGACCACAGCUUCCAGCUCUUGGGACCCAAACAGAGCCUGAGAAGGAGGAUUAGAGAUGUGAGUAAAACAUUUAUUUUAUAAUAAUUACAAUUAGUGGGAAGUUUAUUCAUUAUUUAGAAGAAUACACUGCAUACUGCAAACAGAUAAAAUAUUUGAAUAGUAAAAUCCCUCUUUAAAUUUAACCUAAACAGUAACUAUUUAAAUUCUUGAUUUAAAUAAUUCACCCCUUUCAGUAUUUUGUAACUAAUGAGCGUCUUUAUUUUUUCUUUUUUAGAAUGAAGACCCAGAAUUGACUACUUUGAUGCUGAAAAAUAUUAACAAAAAAUGUUAUGAUGCUUUCAUUUAUCUUAGUAAAAUUGUGAAAUAAUUGCAGUGCUUCUUUUAUCUAUAGAAUAAUAAAAAAAUGUUGUAAUUUGCAUGUAGUUGUAGUAAUGUACUGUAUCAUUGAUUCCUUAGGUAUGUGAGUGGGCUUCUACAGUAUGUUAUAAUUGAAGAUAAGAUCAAUUGUUUUAUUUUUUAUGACACACAUAUCUGACAUCGCUGAAGUCGCUGGUUUCAUCUAACCUGAUUAAUACGAAUUGAACAAACACUAAUCUGGGGUUAAACUGUUAAUGAAAAUACUGUUUGCAAUUCUAAUCAGAAUAUUUGAAACUAGCAUUAAAUGUAUUAAAUGAAAAGGGCAUUAUCACUAAUCAUUUGUCGCGUUCCAUUUAAUCACUAUGUCAUCAAACUUGUCAAAUUCAAAAUGAAAAUGGUUUACAAAAUUUCAGUAUUGCAGAAACUUUAAAAUGAACCAUGUUUUAUAAUGUUGUUUAAUUUGUGUUAUUAAAUACUUAAGAUUCAUCAAAUACCUGUCUGCUUCAUUAUUUUCACUGAAAUCAUUAGAAUAGAUAUUAUUAGAAUAUUAAUUAGUCAUUUUACCAUGGAGAGCCAUCAGACAUUAAAUUGUUUCUUGUCUAAUAAGAUUUUUGUCUAAGGGAUUAAGUCAUCAGUGAUCUAUGUGGUGUGCGUAGUUACUAUGUAAACUAAUACGUUACCUAUUAAAAAGAUUUUUUCCAAUGCCUUA
RNAcentral lists this long non-coding RNA (1398 nucleotides) under Lepisosteus oculatus (spotted gar). RNAcentral's name for it is "lncRNA (ENSLOCG00000022144.1)". Lineage: Eukaryota; Metazoa; Chordata; Actinopteri; Semionotiformes; Lepisosteidae. The record is from RNAcentral.